Molecule: ribosomal RNA, 506 nt
Filed under: uncultured bacterium
Lineage: Bacteria
Description: partial 16S ribosomal RNA
Rfam family: Bacterial small subunit ribosomal RNA
Source: RNAcentral
GAUGAACGCUAGCUACAGGCUUAACACAUGCAAGUCGAGGGGUAACGAGAGGAAAGCUUGCUUUCCUUGUCGACGACCGGCGCACGGGUGAGUAACGCGUAUCCAACCUGCCCCCAACUAGGGAAUAACCUUGCGACAGUAAGACUAAUACCCUAUAAUUUCCUCAGAUGUCAUCUGACGAGGAAUAAAGAUUUAUCGGUUGUGGAUGGGGAUGCGUCUGAUUAGCUUGUCGGCGGGGUAACGGCCCACCAAGGCAACGAUCAGUAGGGGUUCUGAGAGGAAGGUCCCCCACAUUGGAACUGAGACACGGUCCAAACUCCUACGGGAGGCAGCAGUGAGGAAUAUUGGUCAAUGGGCGGAAGCCUGAACCAGCCAAGUAGCGUGCAGGAUGACGGCCCUAUGGGUUGUAAACUGCUUUUAUACAGGAAUAAAGUUAGCCACGUGUGGUUAUUUGUAGGUACCGUAUGAAUAAGGACCGGCUAAUUCCGUGCCAGCCGCCGCCGUAA